ACUAUUUGGAAUGGGGGUGCUAUACAUGCNAGUCGAGCGAACGGAUAAGGAGCUUGCUCCUUUGAAGUUAGCGGCGGACGGGUGAGUAACACGUGGGUAACCUACCUAUAAGACUGGAAUAACUUCGGGAAACCGGAGCUAAUGCCGGAUAACAUAUAGAACCGCAUGGUUCUAUAGUGAAAGAUGGUUUUGCUAUCACUUAUAGAUGGACCCGCGCCGUAUUAGCUAGUUGGUAAGGUAAUGGCUUACCAAGGCGACGAUACGUAGCCGACCUGAGAGGGUGAUCGGCCACACUGGAACUGAGACACGGUCCAGACUCCUACGGGAGGCAGCAGUAGGGAAUCUUCCGCAAUGGGCGAAAGCCUGACGGAGCAACGCCGCGUGAGUGAUGAAGGUUUUCGGAUCGUAAAACUCUGUUAUUAGGGAAGAACAAAUGCGUAAGUAACUGUGCGCAUCUUGACGGUACCUAAUCAGAAAGCCACGGCUAACUACGUGCCAGCAGCCGCGGUAAUACGUAGGUGGCAAGCGUUAUCCGGAAUUAUUGGGCGUAAAGCGCGCGUAGGCGGUUUCUUAAGUCUGAUGUGAAAGCCCACGGCUCAACCGUGGAGGGUCAUUGGAAACUGGGAAACUUGAGUGCAGAAGAGGAAAGUGGAAUUCCAUGUGUAGCGGUGAAAUGCGCAGAGAUAUGGAGGAACACCAGUNGCGAACGCGACUUUCUGGUCUGUAACUGACGCUGAUGUGCGAAAGCGUGGGGAUCAAACAGGAUUAGAUACCCUGGUAGUCCACGCCGUAACGAUGAGUGCUAAGUGUUAGGGGGUUUCCGCCCCUUAGUGCUGCAGCUAACGCAUUAAGCACUCCGCCUGGGGGAGUACGACCGCAAGGUUG
This 885-nucleotide ribosomal RNA is filed under the name Staphylococcus succinus. Its description in RNAcentral is "bacterial SSU rRNA". It matches the Rfam family "Bacterial small subunit ribosomal RNA", at positions 32 to 896 of the family's 1533-position model. Lineage: Bacteria; Bacillati; Bacillota; Bacilli; Caryophanales; Staphylococcaceae. The record is from RNAcentral.